CCUACGGGGGGCAGCAGUGAGGAAUAUUGGUCAAUGGACGAGAGUCUGAACCAGCCAAGUAGCGUGAAGGAUGACUGCCCUAUGGGUUGUAAACUUCUUUUAUAUGGGAAUAAAAUGUUCCACGUGUGGGAUUUUGUAUGUACCAUAUGAAUAAGGAUCGGCUAACUCCGUGCCAGCAGCCGCGGUAAUACGGAGGAUCCGAGCGUUAUCCGGAUUUAUUGGGUUUAAAGGGAGCGUAGGUGGAUUGUUAAGUCAGUUGUGAAAGUUUGCGGGUCAACCGUAAAAUUGCAGUUGAAACUGGCAGUCUUGAGUACAGUAGAGGUGGGCGGAAUUCGUGGUGUAGCGGUGAAAUGCUUAGAUAUCACGAAGAACUCCGAUUGCGAAGGCAGUUCACUGGACUGCAACUGACACUGAGGCUCGAAAGUGUGGGUAUCAAACAGGAUUAGAUACCCGAGUAGUC
Molecule: ribosomal RNA, 460 nt
Filed under: uncultured bacterium
Lineage: Bacteria
Description: partial 16S ribosomal RNA
Rfam family: Bacterial small subunit ribosomal RNA
Source: RNAcentral